This 253-nucleotide ribosomal RNA is filed under the name uncultured bacterium. RNAcentral's name for it is "partial 16S ribosomal RNA". It matches the Rfam family "Bacterial small subunit ribosomal RNA", at positions 524 to 776 of the family's 1533-position model. The record is from RNAcentral.
UACAGAGGUGGCAAGCGUUGUUCGGAAUUACUGGGCGUAAAGGGCGCGUAGGCGGCCUUCUAAGUCUUGUGUGAAAUCCCUCGGCUCAACUGAGGAACUGCACGGGAUACUGGAUGGCUUGAGUUCGGGAGAGGGAAGCGGAAUUCUGGGUGUAGCGGUGAAAUGCGUAGAUAUCCGGAGGAACACCGGCGGCGAAGGCGCCACUCUGGGCCGAAACUGACGCUGAGGAGCGAAAGCAUGGGUAGCAAACAGG